Molecule: ribosomal RNA, 304 nt
Filed under: uncultured bacterium
Lineage: Bacteria
Description: partial 16S ribosomal RNA
Rfam family: Bacterial small subunit ribosomal RNA
Source: RNAcentral
CAGCAGCCGCCGCGGUAAUACGGAGGGUGCAAGCGUUAAUCGGAAUUACUGGGCGUAAAGCGCACGCAGGCGGUUUGUUAAGUCAGAUGUGAAAUCCCCGAGCUUAACUUGGGAACUGCAUUUGAAACUGGCAAGCUAGAGUCUUGUAGAGGGGGGUAGAAUUCCAGGUGUAGCGGUGAAAUGCGUAGAGAUCUGGAGGAAUACCGGUGGCGAAGGCGGCCCCCUGGGCCAAUACUGACGCUCAUGCACGAAAGCGUGGGGAACAAACAGGAUUAGAUACCCGCGUAGUCCCUGUCUCUUAUAC